AUGGUCUAUUCUGCUUAUCGAUAAUUCCAACCGCAGUGGAUCCAUGGAGUUUGUUGUUCCACCAUCAGAUUCAUCAGCUUUCUUCCCAAUCACUAUCAAAUUCACUGCUACAAGCACAUUCAGCGAUGUCAAGGUUACGAGUGUUAUGCCUCUACGGGGUGGACCGCCUCCAAAAUUCUCACAGAGAACCCAGCUUAUCACUGAAAAUUAUCAAGUCGUUUGAGUUAUUUAACAACAAUUUGUUUUAUAUCAAGAGAAAUUUCUGGUCAUCGGUCAUAAAACAAACAGUGUUUUACUUGUUUCUGG
RNAcentral lists this unclassified non-coding RNA (306 nucleotides) under Hevea brasiliensis (rubber tree). The record is from RNAcentral. Lineage: Eukaryota; Viridiplantae; Streptophyta; Magnoliopsida; Malpighiales; Euphorbiaceae.